UUUUUCAUUGUUCGAUUGAUUUCAAAAUUUUCAUACACAUAGAAAAAUAAGUCUAAUAUCCUUUCACACAAGUUUCACUCUAAUCGAACUAGUAGAUUGUAAGAAAUCUUAAAAACCCUCACUAGAGCUAAAAUUCUACUUUUUGAGACCUUGACCCACUUAAACCUCAAUAUCCUUCAAUUCAACCGUUAGAUUGAGCUCAAAUUCAUAAAACAUAUUGAAAUCAACUAUAAACAUAAACCCAAAAAAUUUCACCCAUAGAUCUAUUAAAAAAAACUCUUGAAAUCAUCCAAAAUAUAAACCCUAUUUUAUUUCAUAAAAUCCAAGUCAUCCGAAACAAAUCUUGACUUUGCAAAGCUAUUACAAAGUCAAUACAGAUCCAAAUCACCCAAAAUCAAUAGCCAUAGAAACCCUAUUCAAUCUUCUAUCAAACUCCCAUUCUCUGAUCU
Molecule: long non-coding RNA, 449 nt
Filed under: Physcomitrium patens
Lineage: Eukaryota; Viridiplantae; Streptophyta; Bryopsida; Funariales; Funariaceae
Description: long non-coding RNA (PPAT_LNC007702)
Source: RNAcentral